RNAcentral lists this long non-coding RNA (698 nucleotides) under Malus domestica (apple). RNAcentral describes it as "long non-coding RNA (MDOM_LNC004237)". Lineage: Eukaryota; Viridiplantae; Streptophyta; Magnoliopsida; Rosales; Rosaceae. The record is from RNAcentral.
UCAUAUAUAUUUUUAACUUCUAUUGUAGAUAUCAAAAUUUCGGUGAAAUAAAUGUUGGCCAUUGCAUUAAAAUUACAUUUGUAGACAUUGAAAUUUCGGUAAAAUAAAUGUUGACCAUUGCAUUAAAAUUACAACAUCCACUCAUUUCACCUACAUCAUACACUUAAUUCACCUACAACAAUCCACCCAAUCCACCUACAAUAUCCACCAAAGCAAAAGGAUGGUGGUAAUUCAUUCUCAAAGCCUAUAAAUAGGCCUCUCUAUCAAAGGAUCAAGCGAGAAAAUUUACAUACACUUUCUCUACUCUUAAGCAAAUCCCGAAGAAUCAAGAAAGCCCUCUUCGUUCUUCGUGAGAUCCUCCUUCAAGAUCAAGCUCCAACGGCCCUUGAAGAACUUCCACUAAUUCAAGAUCAAGCCCCGACGGCCCUUGAAGAAAGUCUUCAUCAUUCAUCAACCGUUCAUCCAGGAUUAAGCCCCGACGACCCUUGGAUCAACAACACAAUCCACAAAUUUACACAUCACGAAGAUAGAAUCAGAGGCUAAAUUUGUAGAAGAGAUUGUAACCCUUAAAUCAUUAAUACAAAUAUUCUUUUGUACACGUGUUCUUGUCUCAUUCAUUGCAGGAAUUUCAGUGUUUACAAAUUUGGCACGCCCAGUGUGACAAUCUCUACCUCUCAUCUCUACCUUCGUAAUCAGUA